RNAcentral lists this ribosomal RNA (528 nucleotides) under Eudorylaimus altherri. Its description in RNAcentral is "eukaryotic LSU rRNA". It matches the Rfam family "Eukaryotic large subunit ribosomal RNA", at positions 655 to 1146 of the family's 3401-position model. The record is from RNAcentral. Lineage: Eukaryota; Metazoa; Nematoda; Enoplea; Dorylaimida; Qudsianematidae.
UGAAACACGGACCAAGGAGUCUAACAUACGCGCGAGGCGAUAGGCGGAAAACCAGAGCCGUAAUAAAAGUGAAGACUUAGUUCGACUAAGUUCGAGGUACGAUCCUAACGAUCUUCAACGAUCUCUAGGCGCAGUACCGUCUCGUCCCUAAGACACGUUCUAAGGGCGAAGAUAGAGUGCGUACGUUGGGACCCGAAAGAUGGUGAACUAUGCCUGAGCAGAGCGAAGCCAGAGGAAACUCUGGUGGAGGUUCGUAGCGGUUCUGACGUGCAAAUCGAUCGUCAGACUUGGGUAUAGGGGCGAAAGACUAAUCGAACCAUCUAGUAGCUGGUUCCCCCUGAAGUUUCCCUCAGGAUAGCUGAUACUCGGGAGACGAAGUUUUAUCCGGUAAAGCGAAUGAUAGAGGCAUUGGGGACGAAAUGACCUCAACCUAUUCUCAAACUUUAAAUGGGUAAGAAGUCGAGCUUGCUCGACCGAAGCUCGACCCAUAGAGAAUUCGAGUAUCAAGUGGGCCAUUUUUGGUAAGCA